UCUAGCCUGCCCAAUGAAUAUUUAAUGGCCGCAGUAUUUUGACUGUGCAAAGGUAGCAUMAUCAUUAGUUUCUUAAUUAGGAACUGGUAUGAAUGGUUGGAUGAGAAAAAAUCUGUCUUUAUUUAAUUUUAUAUGAAUUUUAUUUUUGAGUUAAAAAGCUCAAAUUUUUUUUAAAGACGAGAAGACCCUAUAGAGUUUAAUAUUUUUAUAAUUAUUAUUUUUAGGUAUUUAAAUUUAGUAUAUUUGAUAAAAUAUUUUGUUGGGGUGACCGAAAAAUUUAAAUAACUUUUUUUUAUUUUAACAUUAAUUUAUGAUUUUUUGAUCCAGUAUUUUUGAUUAUAAGAUUAAAUUACCUUAGGGAUAACAGCGUAAUUUUUUUGGAGAGUUCUAAUCGAUAAUAAAGUUUGCGACCUCGAUGUUGGAUUAAAAUUUAUAGUUGGUGUAGAAGCUAACUAAUUAGGUCUGUUCGACCUUUAAAAUUUUACAUGAUCUGAGUUUAAACCGGUGUGAGCCAGGUUGGUUUCUAUCUUAAAUUAGUUUUAAUAUUUUAGUACGAAAGGACCAAUUAUUAAUAAUAUUUAUUUUUAUUAAGAAUAAAA
Molecule: ribosomal RNA, 599 nt
Filed under: Hydrobius convexus
Lineage: Eukaryota; Metazoa; Arthropoda; Insecta; Coleoptera; Hydrophilidae
Description: partial large subunit ribosomal RNA
Rfam family: Bacterial large subunit ribosomal RNA
Source: RNAcentral